RNAcentral lists this long non-coding RNA (259 nucleotides) under Ananas comosus (pineapple). Its description in RNAcentral is "long non-coding RNA (ACOM_LNC000530)". Lineage: Eukaryota; Viridiplantae; Streptophyta; Magnoliopsida; Poales; Bromeliaceae. The record is from RNAcentral.
UUAUACAACUAAACAAUUAUCGUCGGAUAAUUGUAUGGAUCCGAAUUUCUGGAAGUUUCAAUUUCGACACCGGAACCCACCGUCGCUCACCCGUCAUCUCCGAACCUCCGAUAUGACGAUGGUGACCAGCCGACAAGGCUCAGCGACAACUCACAGGGCAAACAAACAACGUCGGAAGAAAUCCAAACCAAAACUGCGUUCCACCAGCGAAUUUCGCCGAAAAACGCACCGAAAUCGACUUUCGAUUUUCACGAAGGCC